GGGGAUUUAGCUCAGUGGUAGAGCGCUUGCCUAGCAAGCACAAGGCCCUGGGUUCCAUCCCCAGCUCUG
This 69-nucleotide transfer RNA is filed under the name Rattus norvegicus (Norway rat). It matches the Rfam family "tRNA". Rfam says of the family: Transfer RNA (tRNA) molecules are approximately 80 nucleotides in length. Their secondary structure includes four short double-helical elements and three loops (D, anti-codon, and T loops). The record is from Rfam by way of RNAcentral. Lineage: Eukaryota; Metazoa; Chordata; Mammalia; Rodentia; Muridae.